AACGAACGCUGGCGGCAUGCCUAACACAUGCAAGUCGAACGAAACCUUCGGGUUUAGUGGCGGACGGGUGCGUAACGCGUGGGAAUCUGCCCUUUGCUUCGGAACAACAGUUAGAAAUGACUGCUAAUACCGGAUGAUGUCGCAAGACCAAAGAUUUAUCGGCAAAGGAUGAGCCCGCGUAGGAUUAGCUUGUUGGUGAGGUAAUGGCUCACCAAGGCGACGAUCCUUAGCUGGUCUGAGAGGAUGAUCAGCCACACUGGGACUGAGACACGGCCCAGACUCCUACGGGAGGCAGCAGUGGGGAAUAUUGGACAAUGGGCGAAAGCCUGAUCCAGCAAUGCCGCGUGAGUGAUGAAGGCCUUAGGGUUGUAAAGCUCUUUUACCAGGGAUGAUAAUGACAGUACCUGGAGAAUAAGCUCCGGCUAACUCCGUGCCAGCAGCCGCCGUAA
RNAcentral lists this ribosomal RNA (449 nucleotides) under uncultured bacterium. RNAcentral's name for it is "partial 16S ribosomal RNA". It matches the Rfam family "Bacterial small subunit ribosomal RNA", at positions 29 to 523 of the family's 1533-position model. The record is from RNAcentral.